This 489-nucleotide long non-coding RNA is filed under the name Mytilus galloprovincialis (Mediterranean mussel). The record is from RNAcentral. Lineage: Eukaryota; Metazoa; Mollusca; Bivalvia; Mytilida; Mytilidae.
CAGCUUAGUUUCUGGUUUACUUAAUAAAGUCCUAGCAAUAAAUAAACCUUCCUUUUGUAAUCUUUUACAAGGUUCUAACACACUCAAAUUUUUAUCUAUCAACUCAGGAGUGGGAACUUCAAGUGUUAUUUCAGACUUGGGGGGAAUAACUGUUUCACUAUUUAAUCUAACAAAAAAACAAGAGUUAUGUCCCUGUUUAUAUAGUUUAACUUUAUGACCUGACAAGACCAUUUCAGGCUUCGCAAUUAGAACUUGUGCAUCAUUUAUUUCUAAAAAAUCCAUACCAAGUAUCCCUGAAAUUUCAUGAAUCCCGGCUACUAUGAAUUCAUGUUCAAACACUUUACUUGACAUAAUAAAUUUCAAAGUUAUUUUUCCCAAAAUUUCAAUAUUGCUUCCAUCAGCAGCUGAUAGAGUUGUUUUAACUCUUUGUAACUUUGAAGGAGCAAUCCCCAUUUUAUCAAAGAUAGUUUUUGAGAGUAUACUAGCUAC